Molecule: unclassified non-coding RNA, 201 nt
Filed under: Hevea brasiliensis (rubber tree)
Lineage: Eukaryota; Viridiplantae; Streptophyta; Magnoliopsida; Malpighiales; Euphorbiaceae
Source: RNAcentral
GAAAAGACUAGCAAAUUCUUCUUGAAGCAAGUCAAAAAGUUGGUGAAAUCAAGAUGCAAUCAAAUAACAGCAAGAAAUUAUCGAGUCAUAGCUCAAUCAGAUCUAACAGAUCCGUAGUCAACUCCUCUUAGGAACUCUUCUUUCAUCAUGCAAAAUCUAGAGUGGUUUGUGGAUAAAAAAGUUUUUGUGGUCGGAUUGACA